Molecule: ribosomal RNA, 409 nt
Filed under: uncultured Streptococcus sp.
Lineage: Bacteria; Bacillati; Bacillota; Bacilli; Lactobacillales; Streptococcaceae
Description: bacterial SSU rRNA
Rfam family: Bacterial small subunit ribosomal RNA
Source: RNAcentral
UUACCAGGUCUUGACAUCCCGAUGCUAUUCUAGAGACAGAAAGUUACUUCGGUACAUCGGUGACAGGUGGUGCAUGGUUGUCGUCAGCUCGUGUCGUGAGAUGUUGGGUUAAGUCCCGCAACGAGCGCAACCCCUAUUGUUAGUUGCCAUCAUUCAGUUGGGCACUCUAGCGAGACUGCCGGUAAUAAACCGGAGGAAGGUGGGGAUGACGUCAAAUCAUCAUGCCCCUUAUGACCUGGGCUACACACGUGCUACAAUGGUUGGUACAACGAGUUGCGAGUCGGUGACGGCGAGCUAAUCUCUUAAAGCCAAUCUCAGUUCGGAUUGUAGGCUGCAACUCGCCUACAUGAAGUCGGAAUCGCUAGUAAUCGCGGAUCAGCACGCCGCGGUGAAUACGUUCCCGGGCCUU